RNAcentral lists this ribosomal RNA (253 nucleotides) under uncultured bacterium. RNAcentral's name for it is "partial 16S ribosomal RNA". It matches the Rfam family "Bacterial small subunit ribosomal RNA", at positions 524 to 776 of the family's 1533-position model. The record is from RNAcentral.
GACGGGGGGGGCAAGUGUUCUUCGGAAUUACUGGGCGUAAAGCGCGUGUAGGCGGCUAUGCAAGUCGGGCGUGAAAGCCCUCGGCUCAACCGAGGAAGUGCACUCGAAACUGCGUAGCUAGAGUCUCGGAGAGGAAGGUGGAAUACUUGGUGUAGAGGUGAAAUUCGUAGAUAUCAAGUGGAACACCGGUGGCGAAGGCGGCCUUCUGGACGAUGACUGACGCUGAGACGCGAAAGCGUGGGGAGCAAACAGG